This 756-nucleotide long non-coding RNA is filed under the name Homo sapiens (human). RNAcentral's name for it is "HSALNT0238332". The record is from RNAcentral. Lineage: Eukaryota; Metazoa; Chordata; Mammalia; Primates; Hominidae.
UACCCUCAUAAAAUUAUGAAAUGAUUUUAAUGGUCUGGAGUUGUAGUUGGGAUAUUCAGUUUUAUCUUGUUUUUUGAAACUCCCCAAGUACUUAUAACGUACAGGCUGACAAGAACACCUGAUUCAAUCAGUUCUCUCUGCCCCGACUUUACAGAUGCAGAAACCACGACCAAGAGAGAAGAAGAGAUUUGUCCAAGAACACAUGCAAGUAGGCCCUUGCCAGAACCUGGAGCCCUCCAGAACGACCUAGAGGCAGAGGCUCUAGAAGGAGCAGGGGUCCCCAGCCACCGGGAGAUUCCCAGCUCCCUUCUCGUGCUUGGAUUCGCGCACUCAGGCUCAUCCCUGCGGGUGGGCCUCUUGGACGCAGCACCCUCCGGAGACAGCGCCACGGGUGUGGGACUUUUCCUCCUUUCCAAUUGGCAAAGUGAUCCCGGGCAAGUCAUUGUCCGUCAUCCCAGGAAGAAGAAAGUACUGUUCAAAUCAGGGACUUGACUCCCACAAGACUCCCACAAGAGCCCGGAGUCUUAAGUGGACAAUGAGCCGUUUAAAACCAUGCACAGGCCAGUCGCGGUGGCUUAGCCCGUAAUCCCAGCACUCUGGGAGGCCAAGGAGGGCAGGUCACUUGAGGUCAGAAGUUCGAGACCAGCCUGGCCAGCAUGGUGAAACCCCAUUUCUAGUAAAAAUACAAAAAUUAGCCGGAUGUAGUGGUACGCAUUUGUAAUCCCAGCUACUUGGGAGGCUAAGGCAGGAGAAUCG